This 253-nucleotide ribosomal RNA is filed under the name uncultured bacterium. RNAcentral's name for it is "partial 16S ribosomal RNA". It matches the Rfam family "Bacterial small subunit ribosomal RNA", at positions 524 to 776 of the family's 1533-position model. The record is from RNAcentral.
GACGGAGGGUGCUAGAGGUGUUCGGAAUCACUGGGCGUAAAGGGCGCGUAGGCGGUCAUUCAAGUCGUGUGUGAAAGCCCGGGGCUCAACCUCGGAACUGCAUUCGAUACUGGAUGGCUUGAGGCCGUAAGAGGAGAGUGGAAUACCCAGUGUAGAGGUGAAAUUCGUAGAUAUUGGGUGGAACACCAGUGGCGAAAGCGGCUCUCUGGUCCGGUCCUGACGCUGAGGCUCGAAAGCGUGGGUAGCAAACAGG